This 497-nucleotide ribosomal RNA is filed under the name uncultured bacterium. RNAcentral's name for it is "partial 16S ribosomal RNA". It matches the Rfam family "Bacterial small subunit ribosomal RNA", at positions 28 to 507 of the family's 1533-position model. The record is from RNAcentral.
GAUGAACGCUGGCGGCGUGCCUAAUACAUGCAAGUCGAGCGAACAGACGAGGAGCUUGCUCCUCUGACGUUAGCGGCGGACGUGUGAGUAACACGUGGAUAACCUACCUAUAAUACUGGGAUAACUUCGGGAAACCGGAGCUAAUACCGUAUAAUAUAUUGAACCGCAUGGUUCAAUAGUGAAAGACGGUGUUUCUGUCACUUAUAGAUGGAUCCGCGCCGCAUUGGCUAGUUGGUAAGUUAACGGCUUACCAAGGCAACGAUGCGUAGCCGACCUGCGAGGGGGAUCGCCCGCCCGGGAACUGGGACAGGGUCAAGACUCCUAAGGGAGGCAGCAGUAGGGAAUCUGACGCAAUGGGGGAAAGCAUGACGGAGCAACGGCGAGUGAGAGAUGACAGCCUUGGGAUCGUGAAAAUCUGUUAUGAGGGAAGAACCAAUGUGUACGGAAACAUGCACGUAUUGACGGUAACGAAUAAGAAAGCAACGGCUAACUACGUG